Non-coding RNA from Podarcis lilfordi (Lilford's wall lizard), 118 nucleotides. The record is from the annotation of a GenBank genome assembly. Lineage: Eukaryota; Metazoa; Chordata; Lepidosauria; Squamata; Lacertidae.
UGUUCAGUAGCACCUUAGAGACCAACUAAGUUUGUUCUUGGUAUAGGCUUUCUUGUGCAUGCAUACUUCUUCAGCUACCCAGAACAAACUUAGUUGGUCUCUAAGGUGCUACUGGACA